ACACUCCUGCGGGAGGCAGCAGUGGGGAAUUUUGGACAAUGGGCGAAAGCCUGAUCCAGCCAUGCCGCGUGCAGGAUGAAGGCCUUCGGGUUGUAAACUGCUUUUGUACGGAACGAAACGGCCUUUUCUAAUAAAGAGGGCUAAUGACGGUACCGUAAGAAUAAGCACCGGCUAACUACGUGCCAGCAGCCGCGGUAAUACGUAGGGUGCAAGCGUUAAUCGGAAUUACUGGGCGUAAAGCGUGCGCAGGCGGUUAUGUAAGACAGUUGUGAAAUCCCCGGGCUCAACCUGGGAACUGCAUCUGUGACUGCAUAGCUAGAGUACGGUAGAGGGGGAUGGAAUUCCGCGUGUAGCAGUGAAAUGCGUAGAUAUGCGGAGGAACACCGAUGGCGAAGGCAAUCCCCUGGACCUGUACUGACGCUCAUGCACGAAAGCGUGGGGAGCAAACAGGAUUAGAUACCCUAGUAGUCCCAU
This 474-nucleotide ribosomal RNA is filed under the name uncultured organism. RNAcentral's name for it is "partial 16S ribosomal RNA". It matches the Rfam family "Bacterial small subunit ribosomal RNA", at positions 333 to 798 of the family's 1533-position model. The record is from RNAcentral.